UGGCUCAGUGGGUAGAGCAUGGUGUUUGCAACGCCAGGGUUGUGGGUUCGAUUCCCAC
This 58-nucleotide transfer RNA is filed under the name Salmo salar (Atlantic salmon). It matches the Rfam family "tRNA", at positions 8 to 63 of the family's 71-position model. Rfam says of the family: Transfer RNA (tRNA) molecules are approximately 80 nucleotides in length. Their secondary structure includes four short double-helical elements and three loops (D, anti-codon, and T loops). The record is from Rfam by way of RNAcentral. Lineage: Eukaryota; Metazoa; Chordata; Actinopteri; Salmoniformes; Salmonidae.